RNAcentral lists this ribosomal RNA (301 nucleotides) under uncultured bacterium. Its description in RNAcentral is "partial 16S ribosomal RNA". It matches the Rfam family "Bacterial small subunit ribosomal RNA", at positions 509 to 807 of the family's 1533-position model. The record is from RNAcentral.
CAGUCGCCACGGGAAUACAGAGGGUGCAAGCGUUAAUCGGAAUUACUGGGCGUAAAGCGCGCGUAGGUGGUUUGUUAAGUUGGAUGUGAAAUCCCCGGGCUCAACCUGGGAACUGCAUCCAAAACUGGCAAGCUAGAGUAUGGUAGAGGGUGGUGGAAUUUCCUGUGUAGCGGUGAAAUGCGUAGAUAUAGGAAGGAACACCAGUGGCGAAGGCGACCACCUGGACUGAUACUGACACUGAGGUGCGAAAGCGUGGGGAGCAAACAGGAUUAGAGACCCCGGUAGUCCCUGUCUCUUAUAC